RNAcentral lists this transfer RNA (68 nucleotides) under Opilio parietinus. RNAcentral's name for it is "tRNA-Arg". The record is from RNAcentral. Lineage: Eukaryota; Metazoa; Arthropoda; Arachnida; Opiliones; Phalangiidae.
UUAAUAAAAGUGAAAUUAAAUAUCACAUUCAGUUUCGACCAGAAAAAUUGAGCUUAACUCUUAUUUUA